AGCUCUCCUGUGAUCAAGUACAUUAGGCACAACAAUGGCUUCAACGUGACCUGCUCCAUAAGUAAUGUUUUCCCGAUUACCUUCCCACUAUUGACAACCAAAGAAGGGAAUAGAACUGCUUCUAACAACGGUGAUGGAACAUUCAACACAACUGUUACACAUUUCUUUCCAGCUGACGAGAAGGAUACAACCAUACAGUGUCUGUAUUCCAUUUUGAACUUCAGCGGUAUAGCUUCCCUGCAUAUUGUUAACAGUUCUACCAUUGACCAGCCUGAGAAAGAGGAUACGAUGGAAAAGAACAUGACACACACAGACUUCAGAUGCACGCCUUCAGGAUUGUGGAUGGCAUGGAUGAUCCUCGUAAUCGAAGUUCUCGUUUUCAUCGUCCUCGCUUACGCCAUUAAAACUGGACGUGUACUGUUUAAAUCCACUCUGCGUAAAACCAUACGGAACACAAACGACUUACCUCAAGAUGAACACUAUGAUGAAA
Strongylocentrotus purpuratus (purple sea urchin) is the source of this 490-nucleotide long non-coding RNA. RefSeq lists it as uncharacterized. NCBI's taxonomy places the organism in Eukaryota, Metazoa, Echinodermata, Echinoidea, Camarodonta, Strongylocentrotidae. The transcript is spliced from 3 exons. The record is from RefSeq and is a predicted model, not a curated record.